GAUGAAGAACGUAGCGAAAUGCGAUAAGUAAUGUGAAUUGCAGAAUUCAGUGAAUCAUCGAAUCUUUGAACGCACAUUGCGCCCCCUGGUAUUCCGGGGUGCAUGCCUGUCCGAGCGUCAUUACAACCCUCAAGCCCAGCUUGGUGUUGGGCCCCGCCGCCCCGGCGGGCCCUAAAGUCAGUGGCGGUGCCGUCCGGCUCCGAGCGUAGUAAUUCUUCUCGCUCUGGAGGUCCGGUCGUGUGCUCGCCAGCAACCCCCAAUUUUUUUCAGGUUGACCUCGGAUCAGGUAGGGAUACCCGCUGAACUUAAGCAUAUCAAUAAGCGGAGGA
This 329-nucleotide unclassified non-coding RNA is filed under the name soil metagenome. RNAcentral's name for it is "partial contains 5.8S ribosomal RNA, internal transcribed spacer 2, and large subunit ribosomal RNA". The stretch from base 1 to 120 matches the Rfam family "5.8S ribosomal RNA", at positions 35 to 154 of the family's 154-position model. The record is from RNAcentral.